This 556-nucleotide long non-coding RNA is filed under the name Gallus gallus (chicken). The record is from RNAcentral. Lineage: Eukaryota; Metazoa; Chordata; Aves; Galliformes; Phasianidae.
GGGGUAUCCAACUUGGUCAUCCAUUGUAUUUUUAGAUCUCGUAAAGCUUCAGCAAAUUCUUCUUUUACAUCUUUUUCUUUUUCCUGUUCUCUUUCUUUUUCUUUGUUGCCAUUUUUGCUCUUGGAUGGUGAUGGUAUCAGAUGAUAGUGAACUGUAAGGACAUCAGCUUUCUUUCCAAGUUCUGUUUUAGACAGUGUAAGAGCUCCUGCAAGAUAACAUCCUGGUCCUGCUCCUUUUGGUAUUUUGUCAUCAGGCAGAGAUGUAACAAAGAAUGGUUGACUGUGUUUUGGUGGUAAUGUCAAACUGUUGGAUUUCUUCUUUCCUAAGAGAGCAAGACUAUGAUUUUCAUAAAUAUCUAAGCUCAAGGUACUAGACAACCUGUGUGAAACAAUAAAUGGAAGGUCUUUGAUGCGAUCCAGCUCACUGUUCUGUUCAUGACGAAUUUGUAACCGAAUAGUGUAAUCUCCUUUUUCCAGUUUCACAGAAUACUGGUGUGGAUAAGCAUCUCCUGACCCCAUUUGUCUUUUGUUUUGGUCAAAAAUAAUCCACAGUUGGC